AUAUAGAUCAAAGUGGUAUGAAUUUAACUACAAGAAAAAGGGUUAUUAGUGACCACCAUUUAGUGACAGGUCAAAAAUCUAGUCCCUAAAGGUAUACUUACAGGGACAAGAUUUUUUCCUGGUCCAUAAUAGAUUUUGAAUUAGAGAAGAGCUCGAAACUGCUCCAUAAAACAAUGAAAAACUGGUCCCAAAAGAAGGAUUAGGUGUCAUUCUAUUUUUCCCCCUAAAAAAUAAAAAAUAAAAAAACUUAAAGUUAAGAAAUAGACUAUUUAUUAAAACGCUAUCUAGAAUAUUUCGGUUUCUCAGAUCCAAAUAACCCAUCUCCCCAAAUCCCUAAGUGCUCCUAAUUUGGGGGAUCAAAGUGACAAUUUUUUCUCUAUUUCUGGUGUUACCACGGACAUUCAUUGUCGAACUUUUCGCGUUUAGAGUUCUCUUGAUUUGUUGGCCAUCUCUCUGGUCUUGUUCUCUAGUUAAUCUAUUGAAAGGCAACAGAAAUGGGGACGAAGGUCUACAAUGAUUUCAGCAUAAAUCUUAGAGAAAUAACCCUCAAAAAGCCCUAAUUUCGUCUCUCAAACACCAUAAACCUACUCCAAAAUCAAUCUCAAAGUUGUCGAGUAUUACUUAUGCAGCCGUGCUUUGUCAGUUCCUGAGUUUCUCAGCUCCUUCCGGCUAAACAUUCUCAGCUCCUUGUGGCAAAACACUCUCCUUCAUAUUCCAGGAUUUGGAGACUACAGUUUACAAGACAAUAUGCGUUAGGUUUGAAGACAUCAAACAAGCUGACGAUUUGUUUAUCAUGUUACUUGGAUUGUAAGAUCAGAAAUUAUAUUAGGAUGUUUAUUUUCCUCCAAGGGGUGGGUAUACAGUUGUGUGACUUAUAUAUCAUGGUUAUACACUGCCACUAGUCGGAUGUUAAUCCAUUAUUUGUAACUAAUUACAGACCAUAUUUAU
This is a long non-coding RNA of Lycium barbarum (goji berry), 948 nucleotides long. RefSeq lists it as uncharacterized. NCBI's taxonomy places the organism in Eukaryota, Viridiplantae, Streptophyta, Magnoliopsida, Solanales, Solanaceae. The transcript is spliced from 3 exons. The record is from RefSeq and is a predicted model, not a curated record.